RNAcentral lists this long non-coding RNA (279 nucleotides) under Arabidopsis lyrata. RNAcentral describes it as "long non-coding RNA (ALYR_LNC000077)". The record is from RNAcentral. Lineage: Eukaryota; Viridiplantae; Streptophyta; Magnoliopsida; Brassicales; Brassicaceae.
CUAAACAUAUCAGUUAAGAAUCCACUUGAACUAUGAAAACAACAUAUCAUACAAAAUGCAUUAAUUUUUUUCACAUAGGUUUAAUAUUUGACACUAAAAUGAAGAAAAGGCCUUCAUAUAAACAUGCAUAAGAUUAAUUAAUAUAUAUCUCUAACCAAACUAUUAUUAAUUUCAGAUAUUAAUGGUUAAUCACUAUCAAUACAUGUCUUGAUAGUUGUACAUGAGGUCUGCUUUCGCCACCAAGGAGUUAUGAAGAUCCGUAAACUGAUGCUGCUGCAA